UACAGAGGGGGCAAGCGUUGUUCGGAAUUACUGGGCGUAAAGGGCGCGUAGGCGGCCUGCUAAGUCGAACGUGAAAUCCCCGAGCUCAACUCGGGAACUGCGUCCGAUACUGGCAGGCUUGAAUCCGGGAGAGGGAUGUGGAAUUCCCGGUGUAGUGGUGAAAUGCGUAGAUAUCGGGAGGAACACCAGUGGCGAAGGCGACUACCUGGCCUGUUCUUGACGCUGAGGCGCGAAAGCUAGGGGAGCAAACGGG
Molecule: ribosomal RNA, 253 nt
Filed under: uncultured bacterium
Lineage: Bacteria
Description: partial 16S ribosomal RNA
Rfam family: Bacterial small subunit ribosomal RNA
Source: RNAcentral